This 236-nucleotide ribosomal RNA is filed under the name uncultured bacterium. RNAcentral's name for it is "partial 16S ribosomal RNA". It matches the Rfam family "Bacterial small subunit ribosomal RNA", at positions 96 to 334 of the family's 1533-position model. The record is from RNAcentral.
UGGCGGACGGGUGAGUAAUGUCUGGGGAAACUGCCUGAUGGAGGGGGAUAACUACUGGAAACGGUAGCUAAUACCGCAUAACGUCGCAAGACCAAAGAGGGGGACCUUAGGGCCUCUUGCCAUCGGAUGUGCCCAGAUGGGAUUAGCUAGUAGGUGGGGUAACGGCUCACCUAGGCGACGAUCCCUAGCUGGUCUGAGAGGAUGACCAGCCACACUGGAACUGAGACACGGUCCAG